UCUCCACAUCCCAACAUCCUUCCGGACUAAUCCGAGCAAACUUCCCAAGCUUAUCCCCUGUUUCGGAACCAACUCUCAUCCCGCUUGUGAUUCCCUGCAUCCCAAAACAGAAUCCCAUGAUCCAUGGGAUGAACCCAAAUCCAAUUUUUCCGGCAUCUCCUCUCAGCCGAGAACACCACCCCCCUGAUCCCAGCCGUUAACGAAGUCCCAAGCUACCCAUCCCGUGUCCGUAGAUUAAGCAUCCCAGCCUCAAAACAGAGUUCAUCCUUAUCCCACGGAUCUCCCAGCUUAAUCCCAGCCAAAUCCAACGUACCCUACCAUGUCGUCCGUAUCAUCCCAGAUUUCCUCCAAGCUUCCAAGCCUUCUUCGCAUUCAACCAUUCCGUCUCAUCCUCCCGUUCGGAACGAAGUCCCAGAUUUCACGGCGUCCAAACAAGCUUCCCCUGUUUCGAAACCGAAGUAUCAAGGUCCCAUUCUUUCCGUGAUCCACCUUCAUCUCAAUCCUCCUCUUCCA
Molecule: long non-coding RNA, 513 nt
Filed under: Phoenix dactylifera (date palm)
Lineage: Eukaryota; Viridiplantae; Streptophyta; Magnoliopsida; Arecales; Arecaceae
Description: long non-coding RNA (PDAC_LNC022802)
Source: RNAcentral